RNAcentral lists this transfer RNA (74 nucleotides) under Acidobacteriota bacterium. RNAcentral's name for it is "tRNA-Gln". It matches the Rfam family "tRNA". Rfam says of the family: Transfer RNA (tRNA) molecules are approximately 80 nucleotides in length. Their secondary structure includes four short double-helical elements and three loops (D, anti-codon, and T loops). Further hydrogen bonds mediate the characteristic L-shaped molecular structure. tRNAs have two regions of fundamental functional importance: the anti-codon, which is responsible for specific mRNA codon recognition, and the 3' end, to which the tRNAs corresponding amino acid is attached (by aminoacyl-tRNA synthetases). tRNAs cope with the degeneracy of the genetic code in two manners: having more than one tRNA (with a specific anti-codon) for a particular amino acid; and 'wobble' base-pairing, i.e. permitting non-standard base-pairing at the 3rd anti-codon position. The record is from RNAcentral. RNAcentral also lists the same sequence under 4 other names. Lineage: Bacteria; Pseudomonadati; Acidobacteriota.
UGGGAGGUCGUCUAACGGUAGGACAUGCGGCUCUGGACCGUAGAAUCGGGGUUCGAAUCCCUGCCUCCCAGCCA